AUUGAACGCUGGCGGCAUACUUUACACAUGCAAGUCGAACGGCAGCACGGGCUUCGGCCUGGUGGCGAGUGGCGAACGGGUGAGUAAUAUAUCGGAACGUACCCAGAAGUGGGGGAUAACGUAGCGAAAGUUACGCUAAUACCGCAUACGAUCUAUGGAUGAAAGCAGGGGACCGCAAGGCCUUGUGCUCCUGGAGCGGCCGAUAUCUGAUUAGCUAGUUGGUGAGGUAAAGGCUCACCAAGGCGACGAUCAGUAGCUGGUCUGAGAGGACGACCAGCCACACUGGAACUGAGACACGGUCCAGACUCCUACGGGAGGCAGCAGUGGGGAAUUUUGGACAAUGGGCGCAAGCCUGAUCCAGCAAUGCCGCGUGAGUGAAGAAGGCCUUCGGGUUGUAAAGCUCUUUUGUCAGGGAAGAAACGGUAGAGGCUAAUAUCCUUUGCUAAUGACGGUACCUGAAGAAUAAGCACCGGCUAACUACGUG
This 484-nucleotide ribosomal RNA is filed under the name uncultured bacterium. RNAcentral describes it as "partial 16S ribosomal RNA". It matches the Rfam family "Bacterial small subunit ribosomal RNA", at positions 30 to 507 of the family's 1533-position model. The record is from RNAcentral.